UCUCUCUCUCUCUCUCUCUCUCGAAUUGCUAGCCGAAUAGGACGUGAAACAUCCAAUGAAAGAAAACUGGGGGAUUUUUUUACAAGAAGAAAAAGGGAAUUGCCAUAUUUAAAGCAAAGUUGGGCAUUGGGAUUUGCAUAGUGACUGGCAGGUGUAGGUUGCUCUUGCAGUAGCAAGUCAAAGGCCACUGUCUACUCCCACGUUACGUUUCACCGACCACUCUUUUCAACCUUCAAGUGCACAGGAAUGGAUAAAUAAAAACCCAAAACUUCCAUAUCAAGGGCACCUUUGAUUCGCGCUUUCGCCUCACUCUGUGCCUUCUUACCACAAUUUCACUGUCAAAAUUCAUGUCCUCCUCUUCCCUACUGUGAGCCUCUCUCUGCACCUCCCUACUACUGGUGGUGUUUUGUUUGAUUGCAAAGAGGGAAAUGAGAGAGAUCUUCAAGAUUUGGUUUCACAUGGUUAAUGUAUAUGCGAAUGAUAUCCGUAUCCAUUUUGAAUUUGACCCAUAAGGGGAAAAAAUUUGUAGAAUAGCUGCCAUUAUUUUGAGCACAGCAAUCCCUAGAGAAUGAGAAAGCAUAAAAAAUUGAACCGAUGGAUGUGAACG
Molecule: unclassified non-coding RNA, 607 nt
Filed under: Hevea brasiliensis (rubber tree)
Lineage: Eukaryota; Viridiplantae; Streptophyta; Magnoliopsida; Malpighiales; Euphorbiaceae
Source: RNAcentral